Molecule: transfer RNA, 72 nt
Filed under: Bos taurus (domestic cattle)
Lineage: Eukaryota; Metazoa; Chordata; Mammalia; Artiodactyla; Bovidae
Also listed under: 5 other names
Rfam family: tRNA
About the family: Transfer RNA (tRNA) molecules are approximately 80 nucleotides in length. Their secondary structure includes four short double-helical elements and three loops (D, anti-codon, and T loops). Further hydrogen bonds mediate the characteristic L-shaped molecular structure. tRNAs have two regions of fundamental functional importance: the anti-codon, which is responsible for specific mRNA codon recognition, and the 3' end, to which the tRNAs corresponding amino acid is attached (by aminoacyl-tRNA synthetases). tRNAs cope with the degeneracy of the genetic code in two manners: having more than one tRNA (with a specific anti-codon) for a particular amino acid; and 'wobble' base-pairing, i.e. permitting non-standard base-pairing at the 3rd anti-codon position.
Source: Rfam by way of RNAcentral
UCCCUAGUGGCUCAGUUGGUAAAGAAUCUGCCUGCAAUGCAGGAGACCCAGGUUUGAUCCCUGAGUUGGGAA